AAUGAUAUCUACAACUUCUACUUUCUGCCCUGCAAAGAUUUCUGAGGCAAAGAAACACAAAGCCUGAUUACCCACUGAAAACCAAGAAAGGAGGUGAAACUACAAGGAGAAAAAGAGUUUAACCAAUUAACUUGCCAUUUAUGUAAAUUGUUUAGCACAAGGCACAAUACUUAACAAACAGGAACAAUUAUCAUUCCUGUGUGCCAGAAGCAGUCAACGCAAAAUAACACAUGGAUCCUGCCCUCAAUGACCUCACACUCUAGUGAGAAAGACAGACAAGAAAAGAGUUAUUCUCCUGACUUUCAAGCCAGAUAUGUACCACAACUGCAUUCUAGUUAACAAGAAGAGGUCAAGAUGAAGACUAUGACAAGUUGUUACAUCCCUAAGAAUAUAAUCUGAAAGCUGGACUUAUUACUUCCUCUACAGCUCAUUGGCCAGAAAUUAGUAACAUGUCCACACCAGGCAGCAAGUGGUGUGAGUAAUGCUAGUCUGUAACUAGGGAGCCAUGGGAUCAGCUAAAAUGUAGUAUAUUCUAGUAUUAAAAAGAAGAAGAAAAUGGAUACUGGGAGUGACAAAGAUUCUUUCCUUGGCCAAACCCUAGCCAGGCUCCUCUGAGCUCUCUUCUCAACUAGGCCUCAAUCUUGACCCACUACUUGAAUAAAAUGCUAACAUCGUUUUUAACAGCAAAGGCAACCUCCCUAGGUUAACCCUAGACUCCCUUAAAGUGCCUGCCUGAAAAAGUUCAAGGUUACCAAAAUACCUUAUUAUUUGUUCCAGCCAAUAUUUGAAGCUAAGGCCCCUGUCUCUCAGCCUCUGUUGGAGUGUAAGAGCUUAAUUUUUAAAAGUUAC
RNAcentral lists this long non-coding RNA (849 nucleotides) under Homo sapiens (human). Its description in RNAcentral is "HSALNT0311162". The record is from RNAcentral. Lineage: Eukaryota; Metazoa; Chordata; Mammalia; Primates; Hominidae.